GCAGAGCAUCCUACGGGAGGCAGUCAGUGGGGAAUAUUGCACAAUGGGCGCAAGCCUGAUGCAGCCAUGCCGCGUGUAUGAAGAAGGCCUUCGGGUUGUAAAGUACUUUCAGCAGUGAGGAAGGUGGGUAUGUUAAUAGCAUACUCAUUUGACGUUAGCUGCAGAAGAAGCACCGGCUAACUCCGUGCCAGCAGCCGCGGUAAUACGGAGGGUGCGAGCGUUAAUCGGAAUUACUGGGCGUAAAAGCGCAUGCAGGUGGUUUGUUAAGUCAGAUGUGAAAGCCCGGGGCUCAACCUCGGAAUUGCAUUUGAAACUGGCAAACUAGAGUACUGUAGAGGGGGUAGAAUUUCAGGUGUAGCGGUGAAAUGCGUAGAGAUCUGAAGGAAUACCGGUGGCGAAGGCGGCCCCCUGGACAGAUACUGACACUCAGAUGCGAAAGCGUGGGGAGCAAACAGGAUUAUAUACCCUGGUAG
RNAcentral lists this ribosomal RNA (473 nucleotides) under uncultured bacterium. RNAcentral's name for it is "bacterial SSU rRNA". It matches the Rfam family "Bacterial small subunit ribosomal RNA", at positions 329 to 793 of the family's 1533-position model. The record is from RNAcentral.